Molecule: long non-coding RNA, 1799 nt
Filed under: Lynx pardinus (Iberian lynx)
Lineage: Eukaryota; Metazoa; Chordata; Mammalia; Carnivora; Felidae
Source: RNAcentral
CCCUGGAAAUGAUAUGGGGUUGCCGGGAAAACUCCAUCCACCGCUCUCUGUCCCCUCUGAGAACUCGCAGGGCCUCUCUGUUCUGACUCUGAGUCCUAAAGCAUCCCACAACCAACAGGGAGGUACCUUCCGAGGGGUGCCUGGAAGUUCCCAUGCUCCACUGGGGCAGAACUUGAGGUCCCAGAUGCAGCCAUGGUCACAAGCAAUCCCAUAGACAAAGUGGGCCCUGUUGCCAGGACUGAGGAGAGAAAGCAUAUGGGGAGAAUGGGUAGGGAGAAGGGGCCUAGGGCUGCCAGAGCCUGUGCUCUGCCCCAUCUCAACCCAAUCCAAGCGCCCCAGCGCCCCUGCCCAGCCCCAUCCUUCUCUCCUCCUCAACCACCCUCCCACAGCAGCGUUCCAGCCCCACCUCACCAGCUUUCUUGCUGCAAGGUCCCGAGGCCCCAGAGUUGGAGCAGCCCGGGACCCGAAUGAAGCUGGCUCAGUGCAUGUGUCUCAUUCAUGUCAGGGCUGGAGAAAAGGGCCACAUACUGCGAAGCUGAUGCCCCCUCUGGCACUGGGCACCAAUCCAGAGCCCAGAGGGGUCCCCCUGUGAAGAAGGACACAUCCCAGCGCUCUGGGUGUGCUGUGAUCGAGCUAAAUCUAGAGAAAAGUCAAAGAUGGGAUGAAGAAAGGAAUUAAUAAAAGGUAAUAAGGACUUCAUAAGGUGAGUGGAUAAGCAUCCAAACAAUGGAAUAUUAUAUGGCACUAAAAAUAAAUGAGCUAUCAAACAAUGAAAAGGCACGGAGGAACCUUAAAUGCAUGUUUAAGUGAAAGAAACCCACCUGAAAAAGGCUACACGCUGUAUGAACCCAACUAUGUAGCAUUUUGGAAAAGGCAAAACUAUACAGUCAAAAGAUCAGUGAUAGCCAGGGAUUAGAGGGGAGGAUGAGUAGCUAGAACACAUAGGAUUUUUAGGGCAGCAAAACUACUCUGUAUGAUCCCAUCAUGACAGAGAUAUGUCAUUAUACAUUUGUCCAAACCCAAAGAAUGUACAACACCAAGAGUGAAUCCUGACGUACACUAUGGACUUUGAGUGAUGAUGUGUCAAUGUAGGCUCAUUCAUCGUAACAAAUGUACCCUCUGGUGGGGGAUGUUGAUAAUGGGGCAGCUGUAUAUGUAUGGGGGCAGGGGAGUAUAUGGGAGAUCUCUGCACCUUCCUCUCAAUUUUGAACCUAAAACUGCUCCAAAAAAUUAAGCCUUUAAAAAAAAAAAAAAAAAAAGUAAUGAGGACAGAAUGGGAGCUCCACCUGGAGCUGGUAUGAACUAGCUUAAGCAAGGGCCAGAAUAUCAAGAACAUUCUACAGGUGACAAUAGUCCUUAGCCACCAUCUGUAUCUUCCUCCUUUCCUUCCAAAGCCUGUCUAGCUCUAGUUCACCUUCAAAGAUGACAGGCUGUGAAUUCUGGUUUACCACAGGGCUCUCCAGGGCGAGUGUGCCCAGGUCUAUCUGAGUAGAUGUGACCUUGUAAACGGGUUUGACCUUCCAUCUCCGUAGCUGCCCUCAGUCUGGCCAGCAGUGAUAAGCACUGCAAACUACCUGGGUUGACCAGGUCUAGCAAGGCUGCCCACCCUGGGACCAACUGGAAUAGCAUCAGGGGAAGAAGAGGGCCAAUAUGUCAUCCCUUUCAACAUUCAUUUGUCCUGUUUCUCCUAGAACCAGAAAGAGAUGCAAUCUUCACCUGUUUAUUCGGUAGAGUGUGCCAUCUUCAGGAAGUCCUUCACGCUGUACAGAGAACAGUGGAGACUUCUCCUGCUGGGGCAG